AUUGGACGCUGGCGGCAUGCUUUACACAUGCAAGUCGAACGGUAACAGGGUGCUUGCACCGCUGACGAGUGGCGAACGGGUGAGUAAUGCGUCGGAACGUGCCGAGUAGUGGGGGAUAACGCAGCGAAAGUUGUGCUAAUACCGCAUACGUACUGAGGUAGAAAGUGGGGGACCUUCGGGCCUCACGCUAUUCGAGCGGCCGACGUCUGAUUAGCUAGUAGGUGAGGUAAAGGCUCACCUAGGCGACGAUCAGUAGCGGGUCUGAGAGGAUGAUCAGCCACACUGGGACUGAGACACGGCCCAGACUCCUACGGGAGGCAGCAGUGGGUAAUUUUGGACAAUGGGCGAAAGCCUGAUCCAGCCAUGCCGCGUGUCUGAAGAAGGCCUUCGGGUUGUAAAGGACUUUUGUCGGGGAGGAAAUCCCCAGCGUUAAUACCGCUGGGGGAUGACAGUACCUGAAGAAUAAGCACCGGCUAACUACGUGCCAGCCGCCGCCGUAA
RNAcentral lists this ribosomal RNA (500 nucleotides) under uncultured bacterium. RNAcentral describes it as "partial 16S ribosomal RNA". It matches the Rfam family "Bacterial small subunit ribosomal RNA", at positions 30 to 523 of the family's 1533-position model. The record is from RNAcentral.